GUUAUUUUUUAGCUGUGGGAAUGGACUGAACCGAACCUUACGAACUGUGCUUAUUCUGGUCAGUGUGCUGUGUUUUCAGACACUAGAUACGUUUUUAAGGAAGUAUAAAUAGACGCCACCACUGCGUUAAUGAGGCCCAUGAGUGAGUUCAGCAUCCAGCAGAUGGCAGCAGGAGGCUGACGCUUCGAGGUCUCACAUCGCUGAGGUAUUGAUGAUUGACACACGAAACGUGACGUGUCCACAGCCACCCGCUCGCCCACUCUCAGGGCGGAAGCGACCCCGGGCCCCCUCUGAAGUGCAGCAUUUCAGUGCCCGUCUAAGAGAGCGGCAGCCGUCCCCGAGGGUUGUCAUUUUCCACUUUGUGAGUGGGUGGCUGUCGGCCGCGGUUUGUCGCCCAGUGGACCUGGACCGAGACGCUCGUUGAAGGUCCCCGUGUCCGGGCCCAGACGAGGGAGGAAGACGUGCAGCCGUGGGGGCCAACGGGCCCUGUGGUCGCGCAUUCCUGAACUCCUCCGGCACUGCCCACACACGCUUGACCAAAAUAUCUGAUCCAGCCGUGCAAAGCGCUGCAUGCGGCCACAACAUCACGUCUCCAUUCACGCAUAUAGAUGUGCGUGAUGUAUUGUAAACACCUGAGAAAUCAUAAACUAAAACUACACACGGGUUGAUAAUCUCAGGUGUACAUCCCUUUUUGACUUUGCACAAGGAAUGAUUUAGAUUGCUUUGCAUUGCUGGAGUUAAUGCACCCUCCUGGUUUAUGACUCUGCUAAAAGAUAGGUACUGAAAAUUGUUGUGAGUUAAAAAUAUUCAGGGAUGUUAAAUGUUUGAAAUAAGGAAAUUGUGUAGAUUUAGUUCUCAUGCAUUUUUACUCAAUGGUGCACUGAUUAUUUAUUUUGGAUACAUAUUUGGAACAGAAAUUGUUGCAACAUUCUCAUUUAAAUAUUAUGCAUACUUUUACUGGGGAGCUUAUUUAAGGUUUUUGCUAAUUAAAAAUACCAGACAUCAUAUUGUGUGCAAUAAAACACGCAUCCUGUUUUCUG
This is a non-coding RNA of Gasterosteus aculeatus aculeatus (three-spined stickleback), 1040 nucleotides long. The record is from RefSeq and is a predicted model, not a curated record. NCBI's taxonomy places the organism in Eukaryota, Metazoa, Chordata, Actinopteri, Perciformes, Gasterosteidae.